RNA transcript from Tetranychus urticae (two-spotted spider mite), 2824 nucleotides. It is a transcript of the gene named alkaline phosphatase, with no coding region annotated. The record is from RefSeq and is a predicted model, not a curated record. Lineage: Eukaryota; Metazoa; Arthropoda; Arachnida; Trombidiformes; Tetranychidae.
AUAAAAUCUGAAGAAAGAUUCAUUUCGAAAAGGAGAAAAGAAAGGAAAAAAUUGGUUAAAAAGCAAACAAAGAAUUGAGUGUAGCGACCUCGGGUGGUAGUUUGUAGCAAACUUUUUAUCUUCAUUUUUUGGGAUUUCUCUUCUGCUUUAUAAUGAAUUGUUCAUACUUUUGUGAUCAUUUCCAGUGAAAGUUUAAGAUGUUUCAUCCAAUUAUUUGGUUGCUGCUCUCAAUUGUGGCUCCUUUUGGCUUGGCCCAUGGAACACCGCUAACCACUUUAACUUCAUUAUCAUCUUCAUCAAGUAACUCCAUUGAUUUGACCAAUGUUUUUGACAAAUGUUUAAGUAUACAUGAACAAGUCACAUUAUCUUCUCAAAUACAAUUGUCACCUCUUUUAUCGUGUGAUCGAGAUCUCUUUAAAGUUGUACUCGACAACACCAGAAUCACGGGUCUCAACAAAUAUCUGAUAACCCCAUUCAAAAGGGUCAACAAAGAUAAAUAUGAAGCAACUAUGAGCAUCGAAGGAAUAAAAGUUGAAUCAAAUUACCAUAUUAAUGGACCCGUUGCCCACAUGUUUCCAGUUAGUGGGGAAGGUACACUAGAGAUGGAUUAUGUUAACAUUACAAUUGACUUGGGUGUCAAGAAAUCAUCUGAAUCAGACAACUUAGUAAACAUUUAUGCUGAAAAGAUAGAUUUUCAUAAUCAUGGCUACGAGGUAAUCAAUGGUAAACAAACAGUGGACAAUAAAGCUGAUCAUUUGGAUAAAGGUUUCCAAGAGUCGCUGGGCAAAGUCAUUUUUUGGCAAAUCUUUAAAGCUCUAAAGGUGGACCCAUCUUUCAAUGUAUCAGUAAAAUGUCUCGAGGAUUCAAUACAAUCAGAUCAAUUGUUGAAUACGCUGAGUUACAAUGAUUUGCCUAGAAAUAAUGUCCAUCAUGCCUCUGAAAUAGUUGCCAUGAAAUCCCACCAUUCCUCAGUUUACUCAGUUGAAAGCCAUUCAAGAGCUAAAAGAGACGUCUCUCCUCAGUUACCUAACAUUCCAGAAAUUGAAACCACAGAAGCACAUUGGUAUAAAAAAGCUCAAGAAUCUUUAGACGCAACCAUGAAUAUCAAGAAAUUAAACAAAAAUGCCAAAAAUGUUAUUCUAUUCAUUGGUGAUGGAAUGGGAAUUUCAACACUUUCUGCUGCACGAGUUUUGAAAGAACAAUUAAAUGGAUUACCUGGUGGAUCUAAUAGAUUAUUUUUCGAAGAAUUCCCUCAAUCAGCUUUAAUCAAGACUUUCAACCUUGACAGACAAACACCCGAUUCAGCUGGUACAGCAACAGCAUUCACCUGUGGGAUCAAGGCUAAUUAUGCAACUCUUGGUGUAUCCGGAAGAAUAUUCAAAAGCGAAAAAGAUUGCUCUGUUAUUGCAGCCAACGCAGUUCCAUCUAUUUUCACUUGGGCACAAGCUGCAGGUAAAGGAACUGGAAUUGUAACUACAACUCGAAUCACACACGCCACUCCAGCGGCUGGCUAUGCUCAUGUUUCUAAUCGUGACUGGGAAAGUGACACUGAUGUUGCUAAGUUUGGAGCCAGUUGUAAAGAUAUUGCUCGUCAAUUGGUUGAAGAUGCUCCAGGUAACAAGCUGAAUGUAAUCAUGGGAGGAGGAUGGAAACACUUUGCUGGUUCAAAUGUAUCUGAUCCCACUCCUUCAGCUGGAGCUGCAGGCGGUCGAACCGAUGGUGUUAACCUUAUUGAUCGCUGGAUUUCUGAUAGAGAAGCUCGUUCGGCGAACUGGUCCUUUGUUACUUCAACCAAAGACCUUAGAUCAGUUGAUACUGCAAAAACUGAUUACUUAUUUGGUCUUUUCAAUCGUGAUCAUUUACCAUAUGAGUUAGAACGUAAUAAAUCACCAGAAGGCUCACCAAGCUUAGCUGAAAUGGUUGAAUCAGCUGUCAAUGUUUUAUCCAAACAUGACAAUGGAUUUGUGUUGCUUGUUGAAGGUGGUCUUGUGGAUAUUGCUCACCAUGAUAAUUAUGCUCGACUUUCACUUCAUGAAGUAUUAGGUUUGGAAGCUGCUAUUCAAAAAGCAACUGAACUUCUUCCUUUAGAUGAAACCUUAAUCAUUGUAACCGCUGACCAUUCUCAUGGAUUUGUCAUGAAUGGUUAUCCAUUGCGUGGUAAUGACAUUUUUGGAGUCUCUGAUACCAAAGAGGAUGGAGUUAAUAAAACCUUUUCAACCCUUAUGUACACCACUGGACCUGGUCAUGUUGAGCCUCGGCCUGAUGAGGCUAAAGUUACAAGCAGAGAUAACCCACGAUAUCGAUUCUAUUCUGCCAUCAAUUUGUCCUCAGCUGUUCAUGGAGGUGAAGAUGUUGCCUUGUACAGUGUUGGACCAAUGUCACAUUUAUUCAAUGGACUUCAAGAUCAAUCAUAUAUUGCUCAUGUAAUUGCCUAUUCAUCCUGUAUUGGUGAAUAUGCCUCUACCGAAAGGUGCAAAAAUCAAUUGAAAAGUGCAGCUCCAGAUUCAGAUGAAAUAAAACUGUUCAUUACUGUAAAUCAAGUGAAUUAAAAAAGAUUUAGCAAAUUAUAUAAUAAAACCUCCAAAAUCAAGAUUCAUCAAAACUUCAAAUAAUCCAAUUGAGUCGUGAACAAGAUUGAUUAAAGCUAAAUAAUUGACGCUUAUUUUUAAUCAUGAGGCUGCCAUCGAAGCAAAUCUCAAAGAAUUUCUAUUUUUACUAUUAAGAUAUUAUUUUAAUAAUUAUACCUCUAUGAACUUCAGUUGUUUGUAACUAUCGGACAAUCAUAAGAAACAUUAAGAUUAUAUUUUAUACAUUUUUUUACACA